RNAcentral lists this unclassified non-coding RNA (302 nucleotides) under Hevea brasiliensis (rubber tree). Lineage: Eukaryota; Viridiplantae; Streptophyta; Magnoliopsida; Malpighiales; Euphorbiaceae. The record is from RNAcentral.
CUGCUUACCAAGAGUAAGUUCAUGCUGUAAUUCAUAUUUAUAUAUGCUUCUGUGUACUUGCUUUUGUUUCCUUUCAACCUUUCUUUCUACCUGGUUUAUGGAAAAUCUUCUCUCUUUCUUGUUCUUUGGUGUCUUAUGCACUUUAGAUUUGCUCUGGAUCUGCAGGUUUAUAAUCCAACAUUUUUAUAUUCUAUUUUCUUCCAUUAAGAAAGUUCUGCAUUACAUGGAUAAUACAAUCUUGAAACAUUUUUAAUUUUGGUAGUUGUUAAGCUAACUCAGUACUGUUAAUAAUUUAGUCAAAG